AUGCUCUACUCCGACUACUUCACUGAUGCUCCACUCCACGGCGAGAAAACAUUUCGGCGCCGUUAUCGGAUGAGCCGAAAGCUCUUCCUCAGGAUUGUGAAUUCCAUCCGGGAGUUCGACAACUACUUCAAGUGCAAGAUGGAUUGCACCGACGCUCUUGGAUUCACCUCCAUCCAGAAGUGCACGACAGCGAUGAGGAUGCUUGCAUAUGGAGCUCCCGGUGAUUCACUCGACGACUAUGGGCGCAUGGCCGAGUCCACCAGCAUAGAGUGUUUCUACAAGUUCUGUCGGGCAGUGGUGGUAGUGUUUGGACCACAAUACUUGAGAACACCCAAUGCGGAAGACACUGCUCGGAUCCUAGCACAGAAUGCAGCAAGAGGAUUUCCUGGGAUGCUUGGAAGCAUCGACUGCAUGCAUCAGAAAUGA
Molecule: ribosomal RNA, 426 nt
Filed under: Triticum aestivum (bread wheat)
Lineage: Eukaryota; Viridiplantae; Streptophyta; Magnoliopsida; Poales; Poaceae
Description: partial small subunit ribosomal RNA
Source: RNAcentral